This 440-nucleotide ribosomal RNA is filed under the name uncultured bacterium. RNAcentral describes it as "partial 16S ribosomal RNA". It matches the Rfam family "Bacterial small subunit ribosomal RNA", at positions 338 to 795 of the family's 1533-position model. The record is from RNAcentral.
CCUACGGGUGGCAGCAGUGGGGAAUAUUGCACAAUGGGGGGAACCCUGAUGCAGCGACGCCGCGUGGGUGAAGGAGUCUUUCGGUAUGUAAAGCCCUAUCAGCAGGGAAGAACAAUGCCGGUACCUGACUAAGAAGCACCGGCUAAAUACGUGCCAGCAGCCGCGGUAAUACGGAGGAUGCGAGCUUUAUCCGGAUUUAUUGGGUUUAAAGGGUGCGUAGGCGGACUGUUAAGUCAGCGGUAAACGCCCGGGGCUCAACCCCGGCGAGCCGUUGAAACUGGCUGUCUUGAGAGGUCGAGAGGUAUGCGGAAUGCGCAGUGUAGCGGUGAAAUGCUUAGAUAUUGCGCAGAACUCCGAUUGCGAAGGCAGCAUACCGGCGGCGAUCUGACGCUGAGGCACGAAAGCGUGGGUAUCGAACAGGAUUAGAUACCCUUGUAGUC